RNAcentral lists this unclassified non-coding RNA (316 nucleotides) under Hevea brasiliensis (rubber tree). Lineage: Eukaryota; Viridiplantae; Streptophyta; Magnoliopsida; Malpighiales; Euphorbiaceae. The record is from RNAcentral.
UUUUCUUUCACGACCCUCUAUUAGUCUAUUCUCAUUCUCUUGCCGUUCAACAGCCUCUCUUUGUCUUCUCAGUCUCUCUUCCUUCUCACCAGUCUCCUUCAGUAUCCUCUCAUUCUCUUUCUUCUCAAGAGCCUCUUUCAGUCUCCUCUCAUUUUCUUCCCGCCUAAGCGCCUCCCUUAAUCUCCUCUCAUUUUCUUCUCUUUCAUAAGCUUCUCUGAGUAUAUUCUCAUUUUCUUCCUGCUUAUGGACAGCCUUCUUCAGCCUUCUGUCAUUUUCUGCUUGUUCAAGAGGCACAUUAAGCUUUCUCUCAUUUUCU